This is a long non-coding RNA of Capsella rubella, 420 nucleotides long. RefSeq lists it as uncharacterized. The transcript has 4 exons. NCBI's taxonomy places the organism in Eukaryota, Viridiplantae, Streptophyta, Magnoliopsida, Brassicales, Brassicaceae. The record is from RefSeq and is a predicted model, not a curated record.
AGCAAUUGAUUUGAUUCGAUUUGUGUCUUCAUUGAAUCUGGAAGCCAAUGUUUGCCUUAUGAUGAUUCACGUAUUUGGUCAUUGAUGUUCUCUAUAGUUCAUGAAGAUUUGAUCAAGAUGACUUCCUCACAAUUAUCCAAAAAGAAGAAGGAUCAUGUAGCAUCAGCAUUACUACGUUUAUAACUUGAGGGUGGAGAGUCAAGGUUCGAUGGUGACUCAAGGCUCGAUGAAUGUCUUCAUUGAUUCUCCAUCGAUUCUCUAUUUUCUUCAGUUAUUAGAGACUAGAAGAAUAUUUAUAAGAGGAAUAUUUAGAAGAAUAUUGAAGAGAGGAACAGAGGUAUUAUAUUAGCAGCAAACUUCAGAAACGACCACGGAUGGAGUCGCCUCGCCUCAGCUCUCAGGAUACUUAAAUAUCACAGG